UUCCGCAAUGGGCGAAAGCCUGACGGAGCGACGCCGCGUGUGGGAUGAAGUCCUUCGGGAUGUAAACCACUGUCGGAGGGGAAGACAUCGACGGUACCCUCCAAGAAAGCCCCGGCUAACUACGUGCCAGCAGCCGCGGUAAUACGUAGGGGGCUAGCGUUAUCCAGAUUUACUGGGCGUAAAGCGCGUGUAGGCGGCUGGUUAGGUGUGAUGUGAAAUCCUCGGGCUCAACCCGAGAACUGCAUUGCAAACCGGCCUGGCUAGAGUGCAGGAGAGGGAAGCGGAAUUCCAGGUGUAGCGGUGAAAUGCGUAGAUAUCUGGAGGAACACCGGUGGCGAAGGCGGCAUCCUGGACCGGCAUUGACGCUGAGGCGCGAAAGCCAGGGGAGCAAACGGGAUUAGAUACCC
This 407-nucleotide ribosomal RNA is filed under the name Enterobacter cloacae complex sp. 2DZ2F20B. RNAcentral's name for it is "bacterial SSU rRNA". It matches the Rfam family "Bacterial small subunit ribosomal RNA", at positions 364 to 787 of the family's 1533-position model. Lineage: Bacteria; Pseudomonadati; Pseudomonadota; Gammaproteobacteria; Enterobacterales; Enterobacteriaceae. The record is from RNAcentral.